RNAcentral lists this long non-coding RNA (8322 nucleotides) under Marmota monax (woodchuck). Lineage: Eukaryota; Metazoa; Chordata; Mammalia; Rodentia; Sciuridae. The record is from RNAcentral.
UGAGGCAACUAUUUUCAGGCAUUGCACAAUAAAUAUUAUAAGAGAACAAUCCCCAAGAAAGGGAAACCACAUGAGAGCAGCCCCAUGUUCACUCUAGUUCUCUGCCUGAGGGAAAUUUUCUCACUGUAGCACCAGGAGGUACAGUCCAAGCACAGCAUAGUGUUCGUAAUAGACAGAAAGAGCAGAGUUCAGAAUUUGGAUUUCAGAGAAGGAUAUACACAGGGCCCUUUAGAAGUCAUUGUGGGGUUUCCUCUUGGGGCAUUUGUUGAGGGCUGGACUGCAUAUACAGAGUGUGACAUUCUGUGCAGCCUGGAAGAAAUCAGCAGUGGGGUUGAGAGAAGAAUGUAGAUACUAGAGGUGGCACAGUGCUGGGAGAUAAUGGAAUUCUGACUUAAACAGAGUGGAGAGAACUUUAAAACCCCAGUCAUUCCAUUUACAUUUUAAGGAGAAAGAACCACUCCCUAGAGUAAGGACUACUCUAUAUCUGCCCUAAUAAAGCCUAAAUUUACCUCACCUGGAUAAAGGAUCAAGUAAAUUAAUUGCCUCUUGGAAACUCAGUACUCUUCAAGAGAUGCAAUAUAAACCAGCUUCCUUAUAAUGUCUCACCCACAGUGUGCAACAUAGAAUAAAACAAAACAAAACAAAAAUAGUAAUCCCAGAUACCCUGGAGGUUGAGGCAGGAGGUUGCAAGUUAGAGGUCAGCGUAGACAAUUUAUCUAGGCCCUGUCUCAAAAAGGGUUGGGGACAGGAAGUGACAAGAUGAGAGUUGCUAUGGUUGGUAUUGUCACUUCUGAGCAUUCCUGCAUUGAGAGAGAUUUUGGGAGAUAUAUCCAAACUAAAACAAUAUGCCAAGAUAAUCUCCUUAUUCAAAGUAAACAAUUAGCAACUUUAAUUCCUCUGUCAUAUAACACAAUAUAUUCACAGGUUCCAGGGAUUUAAGACACAUCUUUGGGUGGUCAUAAUGCUGCCUGCCACAUGGUGUAUGUACUCUGUAAUGGAACCAAACUAGAAAGCAAUGGCAGAAAUGCAAAAGGAAAAUCACUUACAGCUAAAUAAUCAUGGGUCAGAGAAAGUCUCAAAGGAGAUUUAAAAAUAGUUGCAUGAAAAUGAAAAUGCAGCAUCUCAACAUAUGUGGGACCCAUAGACAAAUAUUUUGUACAUACCAGUUUUAUUGAGCUAUCACCAUUUAAGGUGUAUGAUUCAAUGGCUUUUAGUUUAUUUAGAGAGUUGUGCAACCAUCACCACUAUUUUGAGAAUACUUUCACCACCCCAAAAAGAAACCCCAUACUUAUUCACAGUCACUUUCUAUUUCUAUGGAUUUGCCUAUUCUGUACUUGCAUGUAAAUUGAAUCAUUCAUUAUGUAGCCUUUUGGGAUUGAUUUCUUUCCUUUAAAGUGUUUUCAAAGUUAAUCUAGCUCUAUACCAGCACUUCAUAGAUUUUUGACAAUCAAAUAACAUUCUAUUGAAUGGAUAUAUCACUUUAUUAUCCAUCUAUUGAUGAACAUUUGGGUAGGAUCACUUUUGACUAUCACAUGUUUUAGCACAUUGGGUGAAAGAGAUACCUAGGUGAAAGGGAUACCAGGUGUAUCUAUGAGGGUAUUUUCAAAAACCUCAAAAUCUGCUUUAAUCAGUGUUCUCCAGAAUAUAUAUAUAUAUAUAUAUAUAUAUAUAUAUAUUAUAAACAUAUAUACGUGUGUGUGUGUGUGUGUGUGUGUAGAAAGAGAGAGAAAGGGGGAGAAACGGAAUUAUUAGAGAAACUGUCUUAAUUACAGAGGCUGAGAAGUCACACAAUAGGCCCUCUCUGCAAGCUGAAGAAUCAGGGAAGCCUGUAGCAUGGACCAGUCCAAGUUUGUAAGUCUCAAAACAAGGGAAAUUGAUGAUGUAACUCUCAGUGCAAUGCCAAAGGCCCAAGAGCCAAAGGAGUUGCUGGUAUGAAUUCUGAAGCUCAAAGGCCAGAGAACCUAGAAGCCUAAGCCCACAGAGCUUUACAGGUGAAUUCUUCCAAACAUUUAGAGAAUAAUACCAAUCCAUUACAAACUCUUCCAGAAAUGAAGGAAUGAAGGAGGAGAAAAGAACAUUUCCCAGCUGACUCUUUUGUUUUUUACUGGGCGUUAAGUCCAGGGGUACUGUCACUGAGUUUCAUCCCCAGGAUCUCGAUAAGUUGCUGAGUCUGGUCUUGUACUUGUGAUCCUUCUGCUUCAGCAUCCCAAGUUGCUGGGAUUUAAUCCUAGCUCCUAGCUCAUUCUGUGAGGCAAGUCUUAUCCUGUUAUCAAAGCCAGAGAAAAGUAUUUUACACACACACACACACACACACACACACACACAAUUACAGCUCAGUAUCAGGAAUAUAGCUACAAAAUAUUAGCAAACUGAAUCUUGUGACAUAGAAAAGAUUAUAAACCAUGACCAAGUGAGAUUUAUCUCAGAAAAAGUUGGUUCACUAUCCAAAAGAUGAAUUAACAUUACAUACCAUAUUAAUAUAGGAAAAAAACUCACAUAUUGUCUUAAUAAAUGCAGGAAAAAACAUUUCUCAGCAUCCAACACUCAUUCAUGGGGCUGCUUUUAUACCCUCAACAAUCUACAGUUAAUUCACACUUAAUGAUAAAAGACUGAAUUCUUUUCUCUUCAGAUCAGGAAUAAGACAAGAAUAUCCACUUUCAACAUUCUAGUGAAGUUUCUAUCUAGUGGCAUGAUGCAAGAAAAAAAACAUAAAAGUCAUCCAGAUUAGAAAAGAAGAAGUAAAGGUGUCUCUAUUCACAGAUGAUAUAAUCUUGCACACAAAAAAUUCUAAGAAACAGAAUUAAUAAUAGAAUUAAUACACAAUUUCAGUAAAGUGUGUUAAUCAAAAAAUAAAUUCAAAACCAAUUGUAUUUCUAUAUGUUAGCAGUGAAUAAUACUGAAAUGAAAUUAAGAAAGCAAUAUUAUAAUAAGAAUAAAAUACUUAGAAGUAAAUUUAAUAAAAUGAGUGUAAAACUAAGUGUGCACUGAAAACUACAAAACAGAGCUGUAAAGAGUAGGGGAUGUGGCUCAGUGGUAUAGUGCUUACCUAGCAUGUGCAAGACCCUGGGUUCCAUCCCCAUCACUACCAGAAAAUUGCUGGAAGAAAUUAAAGAAGACUUAAAUAAUUGGAGAGAAAUUCAUGUUCCUUGGAUUGAAAUUCUCAAUAUUAUUAAGAUGGCAAUUCUCCCAGAUUUAUGAUUCAGUGCCAACCUUAUCAAGAUUUCAGUAGGCAUUUUUGCAGAAAUUGACAAUCUAAUUUUAAAAUUUAUAUUGAAAUGCAAAAGACACAAAAGGAUUUUGAGAAAGAAGGAUAAAUUUGGAGGUUUUAGAUUGCCCAUUUUCAAAACUCACUAAAAGCUACAGUAAUCUAGCCAUAUGGUACUGAUACUAGGAUAGAUGUGUAGAUCAAUGGAAGAAAACUGAGAGUACAGAAACAAAUCCUUACAUUUAUAGUAAUUUGAUUUUCAACAAGAAUACCAAUAUAAUUAAACAUGGAAAGAACGGUCUGUUCAACAAAUGGUGCUUAGAUAAUUGGAUAUCAACCUGCAAAACAAAACAAAACAUAAAUUUAGAUCCUUCCCUUAAAACACACAUAAAUCACCUCAAAAUGGAUCUGGACCUAAACAUGCAGCCUAAAACUAUCAAACUUUUAAAAUGCAUCAGGAGAAAAUCUUCAUGACCUUGGAUCAGGUAAAAUAAAAACUUACAUAAUACACCAAAAGCAUAAUAGAAAAAAAAUGGGAAAAUUAUAAUUCAUAAGUAAGGAAAACUUGUGUUUCAAAAUACUCAAUAAGAAAACAAGGAGAUAAGACAAUGACUGAGAGAAAAUAUUUACAAGUCAUAUAUGAUAAAGGACUUAACAUCCAGAAAAUGAAAAGAACUAUUUUAAAAUAAUAACAAUACCCAACUUAAAAGUAAGCAAAAGGCUUGAGACAUUUAACCAAAGAAGAUACAAAUGACUAAAUAAGCAUGUGAAAAGGUGUUUAAUAUUACUCAUUAGGAGAAUACAAACAAAAUGCACUUGCCAGUAUGACUAUGAUAAAAAGGACAGAUGUUAAAUAAGUUACAGAAAAAAUGUGGAGAAAUUGGAAACUAUAUUCAUUACUGAUAGAAAUAUAAUAUGGUACAGGCUCUGAAAAAGUUUGAGUUCCUUAAAACUUCAACAUAAAGUUACUGUACAACACAGAAAUUCCAUUUCUAGUUAUAAACGAAAGAUAAAUGAAAAAUAUAUAUUCACAGGCAGAUUUAUAGAUAGUUCUAUAGUUGGACUUUUGAAUGUCCUGCAAAGAACAUGUUAAAGGCUUGGUUCACAUCCUGUGGUGCUACUGGGAAGUGGUGGAACAUUUAUGUGAUAGGACCUAGUGGGAGGCCUUCUAGUAAUUGUGUGCAUAUCUUUGAAGAGGAUAUUUGGACCCUAGCCCUUUUAUUUUCCUCUCUCGGUCUUGUGGCCUGGCCAUGAAGUGAAUGGUUUUGCCACAUACUGCUGCCAUGAUGUGGUGCCUUGCCACAGGCCCCAAAGCAAUGGGGCCCACCAAUCAUGGACUGGAAACUGCAAAAACUAUAAACCCAAACAAAUCUCUUCUUGUGAUAAGCUGAUCAUCUCAGAUACUUGCUAUAGUAAUGGACAGUGAAUGUACAGAUAUUCACAUAAGCUUUGUGUAUAACAGCCAACAAUUAGAAAUGAUUCAUCAAUGCUGGGCAUGGUGGCACAUACCUCUAAUCCUAGUGAUUCAUGAGGCUGAGGCAAGAGGAUCCCAAGUUUGAGACCAUCUUCAGGAACUUGGUGAGGCUCUGAGCAACUUAGCAAGAUGCCGUCAGGGGAUUUGGCUUAGUGGUGAAGUGCCCUUGGGUUCAGUCCCUGGUACCAAAAAAAAAAAAAAAAAAAAAAUUAUCAACUGGUUGAAUGGAUGAAUAAAAUGUUGUUUCAUUCAGUGGAAUGCAAUUUAUCAAUAAAAAGAACAAACUACUGACACAUGUUACAACAUAGAUAAACUUUGAAAAUUUUCAGAAACCUGAUGCAAAAAAAACCACAUACUGUUAUUAUUUAAUUUAUAUUAAAUAUCUAGAAAAGACAAAUCUAUAUAAACAGAAAAUAGAUUCAUUUGCUGUUGCCUAGGCUUGCAGGAAUGGAGAAUAAUUGUAUAUGGACACAGGGAUACCCUUGGGUUGAUGGAAAAUGUGUGGUGGAUUAUGGUGAUGGUUGUAUAGCCCUGUAAAUUUACUAAAAUUAUUGAUUUUGACAAUUACAACAGUGAAUAUUGCAUGUGAAAAUGUUUGCUUUCUGUACUGGGGAUCAAACCCAGGGAUUCAUGUAUGCCAGGUAAACUCUCUACCACUGAGCCACAUCUCCAACCCUCUGUAGUGGUUUUAUUUUAUUUUUUGUUUUUUGAGGAACUUCAUACAGUUUUUCAUAAUGCUGUACUAAUUUACAUUUCCACCAACACUAAUUUACAUUUCCCCUUUCUCCAUGUCCUGUUCAGCAUUUGUUAUUUUUUUGACAAUGACCAUUCUAACUGGUGUAAAUGAUAUCUAAUUUUAGUUUUUAUUUGCAUUUAUCUGAUGGUUAGUGGUGUAGAGCAUUUCUUCAUAUACCUGUGGGCCAUUUGUAUGUAUUCUUUUGGGAAAUGUCUGUUCAGAUCUUUAGCUCCUUUUUAAAUUGGAUUUUUUUUCUAUUGGCUUGAUUUUCUUAUAAAUUCUAAAUACUAAACCUUUGUUAGUUGUAUGUAUAGUUUGCAAAUAUUUUCUCCCAUGUUGUAGAUUGUCUCUCAUUCUGUUGAUUGUUUCCUUUGCUGUGUUGAAACUUAAAUUUGUUGCAAUCCCUUUUGCCUACUUGGGGAUUUGUUUCUUGUGCUUUUGGUGUCAUAUCCAAAAAAUAAAUAAAUAAGUCUGCCCAAUUCCAAUGUCCUGAAGCAUUUCCCCUAUGUUUCCUUCUCAUAGUUUCACAGUUUCAGGUCUUAUGUUGAAGAUUUUAAUCCAUUUUGAGUUGAUUUUUGUAACUGGUAAGAGAUAGGGGGUCCAGUUUCAUUUUUCUGCUUGUGGCUAUCUGAUUUUCUCUGCCCCCAUUUUCACUGCCAUUGCCCAUUGUGUAUUCUUAGCUACUUUAUCAAAAAUCAUUUGGCUAUAAAUGCAUGGGUUUAUUUCUGGGCUCUCUUCUAUGUUCCAUUGGUCUGUUUUUAUUGCCAGUACUAUGGUGUUUUGGUUACUAUAGCUUCUGAGUAUAUUUUGAAGUUAGUAUGAUACUUUCCAUUUUGUUCUUUUUGCUAAAGGUUGCUUUGGUAAUUUUGGAUCUUUUACAGUUCCAUACAUAUUUUAGAAUAUUUUUCUAUUCCCGUGAAAAAUAUCAUUGGAAUUUUGACAGAUUUUAUUGAAUUUGUAGAUCACAUUGUGUAAGUAUGGAUAUUUUAACAAUAUUAACAAUUUAACAAUUUAACAAUAUUAAUUCCUAUAGCCCCAGAGCCUGACACAUCUUUCAGUUAUUUAUAUCCUCUUCAAUUUAUUUCAUAAAUGUUUUAUAAUUUUCAUUGCAGAGAUCUUUCACCUCUGCUAUCAUUUGGAUGUGUUUUGUCCCCUUCAUGUAUUGGAAGCUUGAUCCCCAGAGUGACAAUGUUGAGAGGUGGCAAGGAACCUUUAAGAAAGAGGUGGAGCCUGGUGGGAGGUCCACUGGGAGUGCUGUCCUUGGAAGGGAUUAAGGUAGUUGCUCUGGGACCUCAUAUUUAGUUCUUGGAAGAGUGAGUUGUUAUAAAAACUUUAGCCUGAUCCUUGAAUAACUCUGCAUCUCAUGUCUGGCCAUGUGAUCUCUGCCCUCACUUCUGCUCUCACUACUGUGAUGUCAUCCAUCAGGAGAGUUUCUCGCUAGAAUCAAACUGAUGAUGGUGCCAUGCCUUUGAACCUGUAGAACUGUGGGUUAAGUAAACCUCUUUUCUGUAUAAAAUUACCUACCCUCAAUAUUUUAUUGUAUUAACAAAAUGGACAAUACAAUAAAUGUAUUAACAAUAUAGUCUCUUGUUAAAUUUAUUCCUAAUUGUUUUCUAAUGGAGUAUUUCUUUUUUUGUCCUUCUCUCCCCAACCCCUUCUUUCUUCUUUUGAUGGAACUGGAGGUGCUCUGCCAUUGAGCUGAGUCUUCUUUUGUUUUUUAAAUUUCAAGACAGAGUCUUGAGACUGAGUUUCCCAGGUUGGCAUCAAACUUGGGACCCUCUUGCCUUAGCCUUCGAAGCAGCUGAGAUUAUAGGCGUAAAUGGUUGCUCCCUGGAUGAACUCUUUAUUACAGGUAGGAGAUACAAGGUACAAUAAACUGUCAUUCAUUUUGGAGGGAAUGUCCCAGCAUUCCCCAGACCCUAAGGCCACUGGGUACUCAAUGACUCAUAUGAUUCAUCAUUGAAUCUUUUCAGAGUUUAUCUCUUUCUAGAGUGUAUGUAUUAUCAGGGUAUCCAAAAUACUUCUGCUUCUUGUUCAUCACGUCUGGUUUACAUGAUACCAUCAAUAUAAUGGACUAAUAUGAUGUUCUACAAAAUACCCACAUGGUUUAGGUCCUUUGAGAUAAUAUUAAUUUUUAUAAUCUAGACUUGGGGUAAGAAUGUGAAUAUAUAGUGAUAUCUGUUCCAUGUUAAUCAGAUUGUUUUUUGAACUUCUUUCUAGAUAGGAAUAAAAAGAAUAUGUUUAUCCAAAUCGAUGUCCAUAUACUACCCACCAGAGGUUUAAUAUGUUCUGAAGAUACCACAUCCAGCACAGUAGAUUGAAUUGGGACUAUUCCUGAGAAGGUGCCAGACUUAUAAAUUAAGUUGGGAUAUGAUGGGGCCACUACCUAAUGUUUUAAGGGUGAUGUUAAUCCCUAUCCAUCUCCCGGUUUGUGGUUUUGUUUUGUUUUGUUUUGUUACCUGGGAUUGAACUGAAGGGCACUCGACCACUCAGCCAUAUUCCCAGCACUUUUCUGUAUUUUAUUUAAAGAUAGAGUCUCACUGAGUUGCUUAGCGCCUCACUGUUGCUGAGGCUGGCUUUAAUCUUUCGAUCCUCCUGCCUCAGCCUAUGUCAGCUGCUGGGAUUACAGGCGUGCAUCACCAUGCCCUAUUUGUUUGUUUGUUGUUGUUUUUAUUUACAGUGUCAUGUAUUAAAUCCAGGGCCUUGCACAUACUAGACAAAUGAUCUACUAAUGAACUACAUCCCCAGCCCUUUUAAAGGGGUUUUAAGCAAGACAGUGUCUUGCUGAGUUUCCCAUGCUGGCCUCAAACAUGUGAUCCUCUCAUCUUAGUCUCCUGAGAGUAGCCGGGAUUACAGACAUACACACCAUGCCCUGCUUGUUUUUUAUUCAUUAUCUUGGCCGUUGGA